Molecule: transfer RNA, 63 nt
Filed under: Terriglobia bacterium
Lineage: Bacteria; Pseudomonadati; Acidobacteriota; Terriglobia
Description: tRNA-Ser
Source: RNAcentral
GCCAGGUUCGGGAUCGGUGGACUCAUAAUCCGCUAAUCCCUGGUUCGAGUCCUGGUGGGGGCA